RNAcentral lists this long non-coding RNA (895 nucleotides) under Anas platyrhynchos platyrhynchos (common mallard). Its description in RNAcentral is "lncRNA (ENSAPLG00000019215.1)". Lineage: Eukaryota; Metazoa; Chordata; Aves; Anseriformes; Anatidae. The record is from RNAcentral.
AAAACUUUUUAUUCCCUCCCCGGGGCUGUGACGUGUGGCUCUCUGCAGUGGAUGGCUUUACCCAUUCUCAGCCUUGCCCUCCUCCCUCCCCAGAGGAUCCUGGCGCUUAAUUCCACCAUCCCUCAGCAUCCCUCAGUGGCCCCUCCGGCCAGCAGCGGCUGCUGGCGGUGGCAGGAUCAGGUCCCUGUGCUCAGCUGCCUGCCCUUCCCUUGGCUGGAGCUGAUCCCCUCCGAGACCAGCUGGCAGAGCUUCCCUCCGAUCCCCCAUGGUUGCCUUGCUCGUCCUGACGUGUCCGCAACAGUGAGAAGAUUGGGUAUACCCUGUACAAGACCUCAAGCUGGAUCUCAAACCCCGUACAUCUAGGAUCUUGAGAACUGGAAAGAAGCAAGGACCAUUGGGCUAAAUCAGAUUUGGAGGUGGCUGUUGCUGGUGACAUCCAAGACCAGUUCCAGAUGCACACAAAAACGGAUUUGCCCUGGUGGCCCCAGUGGCAGUGUGAACCGCAGAGCUGUGCUUCAGAUAUGGCGUGUGCCCAGCUUUGCCCUUAGAGCAACUGGGUGGCAGUCUGAGAGGUAAGUGGCUGUGCAGAGCAAAUGUGCUGAUGACAUCCAGAGUGUUUCAAAUAGCCGAACCGUAGUGGUGUCUGCACCCCACUGCUGCAAUUCAGAGACGUGGAUUUUGUGCAGACUCGGUGCUGCAGAGUCAAACUGCCUUGCACAUGUACCACUGGUAGGCAGCUGUGACCCUACAGACUUUCACAAAGGUUAAGAAUGAGUUCUCAUGAAGGUGUAAUUCAGCUCCAGGAGUUGCAGUCGAGUCUCCUUGACUGCAAAAUGAAGCUUUUUACUUUAUGAUAAUAUGAGCAAAAUAAAUAUGAGCAUAAUAAAUAUGAGCA